CAGUAGCCGCGGGAAUACGUAGGGUGCGAGCGUUAAUCGGAAUUACUGGGCGUAAAGCGCACGUAGGCGGACUUUUAAGUCAGGGGUGAAAUCCCAAGGCUCAACCUUGGAACUGCCUUUGAUACUGGAAGUCUUGAGUUCGGGAGAGGUGAGUGGAACUGCGAGUGUAGAGGUGAAAUUCGUAGAUAUUCGCAAGAACACCAGUGGCGAAAGCGAGGUCCUGGACGUCUGCUGACGCUGAGACGCGAAAGCCAGGGGAGCGAACGGGAUUAGAUACCCCAGUAGUCCCUGUCUCUUAUAC
RNAcentral lists this ribosomal RNA (301 nucleotides) under uncultured bacterium. Its description in RNAcentral is "partial 16S ribosomal RNA". It matches the Rfam family "Bacterial small subunit ribosomal RNA", at positions 509 to 807 of the family's 1533-position model. The record is from RNAcentral.